AAGGUUGCAAAAAAAAAACAUGCAUGUUACAAAUCUGAGACAUUGUUAGCUGCAUGGAAAGCAGUUCAAGAGGGCAUGACUGUGUACAAGGCUUCGAAACUUUUUGACAUACCGAAACAAACUCUGGAUGACCGAAAAUCAGGAAAAAUACGUAACCCACAAAACACUGGUAGUGGACAACUUCCAAUAUUUAAUACGUCACAGGUUUUCCCAACCUGUCAAUUUCGGCGUGACAAAUGGCCCGGUCUUGCGGAUUUGUUGUGAUUUUAUCGAAAUUAGGUAGAAACACCACCGCCACAUUCCAAUGCUGACAAUCGGUCACUGUAUAUUUUUUAUUACUUGAAGGAAGGAAAACAUCACCCAGAUGUAACUGUCGGUCACCAAAGUGGAAUCAGAAAGGCCGUUAAAAAAUAUUCCAUUAAAGGUGACAAUCUUUAUUAUGAAGCCAAGGGAAAACACCAGCUGGUAUGCCAUUCCAGAGAAGAGCGUGUGUCUGCCCUUAAGCACUGCCAUGAUGAACCAGGAACUGGUGGACAUUGGGGCAGAAACAAAACGCUGGACAAGAUACAGGAAUCCUAUUACUGGCUGGGGAUGGCAAAGGAUGUUGAGAAAUGGAUCAACGAAUGUGACCAGUGUCAGCGCCAGGAAAGGCUAAAGACAAUAGCACCAAUUCUGCAUCCAAUCGAGACCGAUUCUCCUUGGGAUUUAAUAGGGAUAUACCUGAUCGGCCCCUUUCAGAAAACAGAAGGUGGUAACAAGUAGGUGUCUUAAAUCAUAAUUGUUUUACUUUUUGUGAUACCACUAACUCUAGUAGUCAAACAAAAUAAUAGUUGUGGUUCCAAUUACCUAGCAGUCAGUAGAAAAAUUGUGCAACCCUAACGUUUUUAAAGAAAAUCACCCCAAAAUCAUUUUGUCAACCGACCAAGUCUAAAUUAAUAUAACCAACAAUCAGCUUUGUAUAACUUUUUCACAAUAUUCAAUUGAUAAUUAAAUAGUGUUCGGUUUUACGAUUACCACAGCUGUGUUUUGAAAUUUUGUAUAAUUUUGAGUUAAGGUGUACCAGGCAAUUUAGACGGGCUGCCAAAAUAAAGUGUGUCGAACUGUUUACAAAAAAAAAAAAAAACCCUGAUAACUGCAAAUAACUGAUGUGGAUUUCUUCAAACAGAUCGUCAACAGUUUCCUGGCUAAUGCACUCAAUACAUUUUAUUUACGGUUAUAUGACGUCGGACAUAUGGUUAAGGACCACACAGAUAUUUAGGGAGGAAACCCGCUGUCACCACUUCAUGGGCUACUCUUUCAGAUUAGCAGCAAGGGAUCUUUUAUAUGCACCAUCCAUAGACAGGAUAGCACAUACCACAGCAUUCGUGGUGCACUGGUUGGAGUGAGUAAUAGCUCAAUGGUCCCAUUUUUUAGUGUUGAAUUAUGCCCUUGUUUAUAUUCAGAUGUGUUAAUUUCACAAUUUCAUUUUUAUACACCCACCUACGAUGAUGAGUAUUAUGGUAUGGCGUUGUCUGUCAACUUUUUCUUGUCCGGACCAUAUCUUGCAUACAGGACCAUCAAACCUCACAUGUAGGAACAACUUGGGAUGGCGGUGUGUUGCAUACUAUUACUAGGUCACUGUGACCUACUUUUCAGUCUACUGCACAUAAUAGUAAAUCCUUGUCCGGACCAUAUUAUAAGUCGUGGAUAACACUAAUAAUCAAACUAAAGCUCUGUGGCAGUAAUAAAAUAGGUUAAAUAUACAUGUACCUAUAUGUACUGACAGAACGUGAAUAUCUGUUCUAUUAUGACAAAACGAGAGAAAAAAAAAAUAUAUUCCACAGGUUUAGUUGGGUUUUUUUUGACAAGAUCCUAGUAUGUUCAAAACCAUUGUUUAACCAUACUAAUACAUGUAAACAGAUAUUUCAAAAUGUUUAAGUAUAUACAUUUUUUUAUCCAUUUUCUUUUUAGAUGUCCAGUCAAACAAACUUUUCAGUACAUGUAUUUUAUGCAUGAUAAUUUUUGUACAAUUUUUGUAUUCAUAUGCCACUGCAUUUUAUUUAAAUUUAGCUCUGGCACUAGUCAAAUAC
This 2069-nucleotide unclassified non-coding RNA is filed under the name Gigantopelta aegis. Its description in RNAcentral is "uncharacterized LOC121378958, transcript variant X1". The record is from RNAcentral. Lineage: Eukaryota; Metazoa; Mollusca; Gastropoda; Neomphalida; Peltospiridae.